UUGAAUUUUCUGGAAACUGGAACACUGGGUAACUGAUUUAUCAUGAUAAAGCCAAAAAUAAGUGCUUUCACAGCUAAAGAGGUUGUGUGAUGUGUCAGAAUCAAGGAGACUAUGACAGAGAUUUCACAGACCUGCCCCCGUCACCACUCGCUGAUCGCCAUGGGACUUUUGUUGGUUUGUUUUUAUUUUUCUUGGAAGACACCUGUGCGUGAUUUUUUUUAAUGUGUGGAGGUCGGUGCACGGCCGGUCAACACACACAGUCUUCACAGAGUGAGGUUCCAGCAGUGGUGUGGUUAACACAACGAGAGUGGCUUCUCAGUCUGUUGCAGCCUUCUUCCGCCUUCACAGCCAUUGUAACAUGUACCAUGUUAUCCUCCGCCUGCUCUGCCGUUGAAGUCUUUGGGUCUUCAGAUUGUGCUUGGUCUGGAACCUCCCCUGCGGCCACUUCUGGGAGUGCAUGACUCCAGUGGUUGCGCCCGCAGGUUCAUUGGAACACGCAAGCCCCUCACCACGACAAGGUGACAAUCCAUCGAGGGGGGAAAGAUGAAGAGAGGCAAGGCAGAAUCAGAUUAGGGAGAAAAUUUCCAUUUUUCUUAUUAUUCAGGUAACAGCUUUGAAUUAGUAGGUGUAUAACAUAACACCUCCCUUUUUUUCUUUGAUAUAAUUGAUGCUGGCAGUUUGCACCUUAGUCCAAUUAAAAGAGAGAGAGAAUUAUCUCUGAUGAAAAAGCUCUCUUAAUUUAAUGUUAUUUGGUUCUGUUUUAUUAGCUGGUUGACAGCCAGGUUAAUUCACCUUACUUGAAAAUUGUAAUUUUCCUCUUUAAGUAUGGGAUUGAAGCCAAAUUAAAUCACACUUGAUGCAGCCCUUUUGAAAAAAGGGGAAUUAAAAUAGUAAUGCACAGGAGUAUCAUGGAUUCCAUUGAUCUUAUCCUUAAUAAUGACUAAGGCCCCAUCUACACUGCCAUAGAAAAUCCAGAUUAUCUGUUUUGAACUGGAUUAUAUGGCAGUAUAGACUCAUAUAAUCCAGUUUAAAGCAAAUAAUGUGGAUUAUCUGCUUUGAUAGUCUGGAUUAUAUGACAGUGUAGAAGGGGCCUCAGUCCACUACACCACCCAAAAGGGGAGUUGGAAGGGAACAGGAAAUGACAAUCACUGCUUCUACACAAGCUUCUACACAUAAUAUCUGUUCAGUGAUUCACUGUAUCUUUUGACUAGGGUGAUAUUUUUGUUUGCUUUGAUUUUUUUUUGAAAAGCUAUCAUUUAAAGGAAAUUCAUUUGUGGUAGGCUCAAAAAUUAAAGAUGCACUAAGUUUCACAUACAGUGGGAGUAUGUGCUCUUCAUCGUUGUCUUUAAUGCUUCGUCAUCAGCGAUGUACUCAAAGGACUUUGCUUGUCAAAACAUGUGAAGGAGAUUUGUGAGAGUAUUAAAAAUCCUUCCAGUGUUUAUAGUUCACUUCAGGGUGCUCCCAGAAGAGGCCGUUAUUGUGUAACUGGAAUUAUGUAAUUAUAUUCAUGGAAUUUUA
This is a long non-coding RNA of Anolis carolinensis (green anole), 1518 nucleotides long. RefSeq lists it as uncharacterized. NCBI's taxonomy places the organism in Eukaryota, Metazoa, Chordata, Lepidosauria, Squamata, Anolidae. The transcript is spliced from 2 exons. The record is from RefSeq and is a predicted model, not a curated record.